GUGGAGCCCCAAGGAGGACAGGGCACUGGUGCUGAUGCACUGUUAGUCCGGUUGGCUUUGUGGUCAGCAUAUGGACUUUGGGGCACUUCUAAAUAGCAGCUGGAUCUUAUGUUCACAAACACCAGUGGGACCCAAGCUUGAAGAUCUGCUUUUAUCAUCUAAUGAAGCUAGAGACAGCCAGUAAAUGAAUGCAGUUGGUUGCGAUAUUACAUACAGAUAGUCCUUUCUUUGGGAUUAUUCAGUGGAUUGAAUUGACGUUCUGGGGACAAGCAGGUGACGAAAGAUCAGAAGAUUUUUGAACAACAAUAUUCAAUCAGUACUCCAGUAUUUGA
Molecule: long non-coding RNA, 332 nt
Organism: Anolis carolinensis (green anole)
Lineage: Eukaryota; Metazoa; Chordata; Lepidosauria; Squamata; Anolidae
Exons: 3
Source: RefSeq, a predicted model, not a curated record